GACGAACGCUGGCGGCGUGCUUAACACAUGCAAGUCGAACGGAAAGGCCCCCACUUUUUUGGUGGGGGUGCUCGAGUGGCGAACGGGUGAGUAACACGUGGGUGAUCUGCCCUGUACUUCGGGAUAAGCUUGGGAAACUGGGUCGAAUACCGGAUAGGACCAUGGUUUAGUGGCCCAUGGUGGAAAAAUUAUUGUUUUGGGGCAGGAUGAGCUCGCGGCCUAUCAGCUUGUUGGUGGGGUAAUGGCCUACCAAGGCAUCGACGGGUAGCCGGCCUGAGAGGGUGCACGGCCGCAUUGGGACUGUGAUCCGGCACAGAGGGAUACGGGCGGGAGCAGUGGGGAAUCUUGCACCAGGGGCGGAAGACUGAUGCAGCGACGCCGCGUGGGGGAUGACGGCCGUCGGGUUGUAAACUCCUUUCGUUAGGGACGAAGCCGCACCUUUUUUGGGUGUGGUGACGGUACCUUUGUUAAGAAGCACCGGCUAACUCCGUG
Molecule: ribosomal RNA, 492 nt
Filed under: uncultured bacterium
Lineage: Bacteria
Description: partial 16S ribosomal RNA
Rfam family: Bacterial small subunit ribosomal RNA
Source: RNAcentral